RNAcentral lists this ribosomal RNA (468 nucleotides) under uncultured bacterium. RNAcentral's name for it is "bacterial SSU rRNA". It matches the Rfam family "Bacterial small subunit ribosomal RNA", at positions 335 to 798 of the family's 1533-position model. The record is from RNAcentral.
ACUCCUACGGGAGGCAGCAGUGAGGAAUAUUGGUCAAUGGAGGGAACUCUGAACCAGCCAUCCCGCGUGUAGGAAGACGGCCUUAUGGGUUGUAAACUACUUUUAUACAGGAAGAAACGUACCCUCGUGAGGGUGCCUGACGGUACUGUAGGAAUAAGCACCGGCUAACUCCGUGCCAGCAGCCGCGGUAAUACGGAGGGUGCGAGCGUUAUCCGGAUUUAUUGGGUUUAAAGGGUCCGUAGGCGGAUUAAUAAGUCAGUGGUGAAAUCCCAUCGCUUAACGAUGGAACUGCCAUUGAUACUGUUAGUCUUGAAUGAGGGUGCAGUGGUUGGAAUGUGUAGUGUAGCGGUGAAAUGCAUAGAUAUUACACAGAACACCGAUUGCGAAGGCAGAUCACUAACCCUAAAUUGACGCUGAGGGACGAAAGCGUGGGGAGCGAACAGGAUUAGAUACCCUGGUAGCGUCGUC